This 209-nucleotide ribosomal RNA is filed under the name Salmonella enterica. RNAcentral's name for it is "partial 16S ribosomal RNA". It matches the Rfam family "Bacterial small subunit ribosomal RNA", at positions 1 to 216 of the family's 1533-position model. RNAcentral also lists the same sequence under 1 other name. Lineage: Bacteria; Pseudomonadati; Pseudomonadota; Gammaproteobacteria; Enterobacterales; Enterobacteriaceae. The record is from RNAcentral.
AAAUUGAAGAGUUUGAUCAUGGCUCAGAUUGAACGCUGGCGGCAGGCCUAACACAUGCAAGUCGAACGGUAACAGGAAGCAGCUUGCUGCUUCGCUGACGAGUGGCGGACGGGUGAGUAAUGUCUGGGAAACUGCCUGAUGGAGGGGGGUAACUACUGGAAACGGUGGCUAAUACCGCAUAACGUCGCAAGACCAAAGAGGGGGACCUU